Molecule: non-coding RNA, 108 nt
Filed under: Shimia marina
Lineage: Bacteria; Pseudomonadati; Pseudomonadota; Alphaproteobacteria; Rhodobacterales; Roseobacteraceae
Description: TPP sequence
Rfam family: TPP riboswitch aptamer (THI element)
About the family: Vitamin B(1) in its active form thiamin pyrophosphate (TPP) is an essential coenzyme that is synthesised by coupling of pyrimidine and thiazole moieties in bacteria. The previously detected thiamin-regulatory element, thi box was extended, resulting in a new, highly conserved RNA secondary structure, the THI element, which is widely distributed in eubacteria and also occurs in some archaea.
Source: Rfam by way of RNAcentral
GCCAAACCGUUGGGGUGUCCCACUUGAGGGGGCUGAGAGGCGCUGUUGCGUAAACCCAUCGAACCUGAUCCGGGCAAUUCCGGCGGAGGGAACGGUGUCGUAAAAUGA